GUGCUCGCUUCGGCAGCACAUAUACUAAAAUUGGAACGAUACAGAGAUUAGCAUGGCCCCUGCUCAAGGAUGACAUGCAAAUUCAUGAAGCGUUCCAUAUUUUU
Molecule: small nuclear RNA, 104 nt
Filed under: Zalophus californianus (California sea lion)
Lineage: Eukaryota; Metazoa; Chordata; Mammalia; Carnivora; Otariidae
Source: RNAcentral